RNAcentral lists this long non-coding RNA (635 nucleotides) under Androctonus crassicauda. Lineage: Eukaryota; Metazoa; Arthropoda; Arachnida; Scorpiones; Buthidae. The record is from RNAcentral.
GUUCCUUCGUUGCUGGUGGUUUUUUUAUUUUAACCUUACAGUUUUGCUUUUAGAUUUGCGAUUUUGUGGUUAAUUUUUACCAUAAUGUUUCAUUCAUCUCCUUUUGAUUCUGCAAUUCCUCAUGACUGUCAAAGUUCAUUUCAUCAUUGUUCUCCUAGUGAGCCGGCAUUGAAGACACCAAAAAUGAUGGAUUUCUUUCCUAAAGCACAGAAAUUUAGGAUGGAUACUUCAAUAUUGGAUUUGAAGAAAUUAUUAGAAGAUAACUUUCAGUUACUUUCAUUGAAAAUUGACUCUGUUUUGGGUCAUUUGGAUAGAAAGGAGAAGUUUUUGCUGAGGUAGACUCCCAUCUGAGUGUUGUUGAGGAGAGACAAGCAUUUGUUGAUGGUCAAUUAAAUAGUUUGCGAAUGGAAAUGGUUCAGAAUGAAUAUUUUAUGGAUUUAAAUUUAAAUGAACUGCAUUCACACAACCUAAUUAUCCAUGGUCUUUAUUUAGAGAAUGUAUCAGAAUUAGACAAUCAGGUAAAAGAAUUUAUGAAAUUAUUAGAUAUUGACAACUGUAGUGUAGUGUCUUUGAAUAUUAGGAUUAUUUUGAAACCAUCUAAGUUAGUUUUGUUGACCAAGGGAAAUAUUCAGCCG